This 253-nucleotide ribosomal RNA is filed under the name uncultured bacterium. RNAcentral describes it as "partial 16S ribosomal RNA". It matches the Rfam family "Bacterial small subunit ribosomal RNA", at positions 524 to 776 of the family's 1533-position model. The record is from RNAcentral.
UACGGAGGGUGCGAGCGUUGUCCGGAAUUAUUGGGCGUAAAGGGCGCGUAGGCGGUGUGGCAAGUCAGGUGUGAAACCUCCAGGCUUAACUUGGAGCUUGCAUCUGAAACUGCCGUGCUAGAGUGCGGGAGAGGAGAGUGGAAUUCCUGGUGUAGCGGUGAAAUGCGUAGAUAUCAGGAGGAACACCGGUGGCGAAGGCGGCUCUCUGGACCGCAACUGACGCUGAGGCGCGAAAGCUAGGGGAGCAAACAGG